This 259-nucleotide ribosomal RNA is filed under the name uncultured bacterium. Its description in RNAcentral is "partial 16S ribosomal RNA". It matches the Rfam family "Bacterial small subunit ribosomal RNA", at positions 524 to 776 of the family's 1533-position model. The record is from RNAcentral.
AACGGAGAGGACAAGUGUUAUUCGUAUUGACUGGGUGUAAAACGUGUGUAGGCGGGGUAAAAAGUGCUAAUAAAAAUCGUUUGCAUUAUAUUGGAGCGUAUUUAGCAGACUUUUACUUUUUUUCUGGAGUUGCGGGGGGGUGUGUAGAACACCAGGUGUAGGGGUGAAAUCUGUCAAUAUCUGGGGUACUAUCAGAAGCGAAGGCGACAUACCAUUUGCAGACUGACGCUGAGACACAAAAGCGUGGGUAUCAAACAGG